RNAcentral lists this non-coding RNA (202 nucleotides) under Bacillota bacterium. RNAcentral describes it as "Firmicutes bacterium T-box sequence". It matches the Rfam family "T-box leader". From Rfam's summary of the family: Uncharged tRNA acts as the effector for transcription antitermination of genes in the T-box leader family. T-boxes are found upstream of many aminoacyl-tRNA synthetase genes and some amino acid biosynthetic genes usually in Gram-positive bacteria. The anticodon of a specific tRNA base pairs to a specifier sequence within the T-box motif, and the NCCA acceptor tail of the tRNA base pairs to a conserved bulge in the T-box antiterminator hairpin. Lineage: Bacteria; Bacillati; Bacillota. The record is from RNAcentral.
AUAUCGGCUAUGACCGGGAAUAGUACAAAAGUCCUUUGUCUUCAGAAAACAGGUGGUUGAUGCGAGCCUUGGCAAACCUUUUGGAACCUGCCCCGAAAGCUCCGCAGGGAAAAUGCGGCGUAUUCCGGCGUUAACGGAUUUCGAGCGGACAGCAUUCGCUGUCAAGGAGGGUGGCACCGCCAAUGAUACCUUGGUCCCUUUG